This is a long non-coding RNA of Anastrepha obliqua, 931 nucleotides long. RefSeq lists it as uncharacterized. The record is from RefSeq and is a predicted model, not a curated record. Lineage: Eukaryota; Metazoa; Arthropoda; Insecta; Diptera; Tephritidae. The transcript is spliced from 4 exons.
GAAAAAGAUAAGUGACAAAUGUGCCAGUGAGUAGUGCCCAGUGAGAAAUCGUCGCGCAAAAAAAAAUUCAGGUCGGGCUUUAGAUUAAUUACACAAGUGUUAAGUGGUAAUUUGUUGGCAUUUCGGUGUUGCGUAUAAAAAAAAAGUCCACAUGUACGCGUUACCAGUGACGGCAAUUUAGUGGAUGGACCACCCACAAGUAAUCCUUGGACCACGGCAAAGAAGGAGCGCCAUCAGAAAUUACGUAUGGAGCUCGCAUUUGGAUCAUCAUGGAGCGAGGGCGAAAUAUGGUAUAAUAUUUUAAUUAAAUUUUUAUUUAUAUUAAAGUUUAGCAAGAAUUAUCAAUAUCAAUUUGGAAACAAUCAUCUGCCGUAAAAUCAUGGAAUUGCACCAUCAGAAGCAUCAUCAACAUAUGUGCACAACUUGAAUGCUGCCAAGGCGCAGUUUGCUGAAGCACAGAAAAGCUGAUGUGACUACGACCAUCCCAUGUUGAAGCUAUCUGGGAUGCCGCCAGCUGGAAGGAUAUCUUUAAUCACCUCGUUGCCGCUGCUAAGAGAUGUUUGAGUCAUCCAAGCUUUAAUUGACCUAGAGAAAAAUUCGAAUUUGUGGGACGAAUGUUGGGCAAAGCGGUGCUUACUCGUAAAGGAUAAAAUGAAGGAGCUAGAAGUGCAUUCGGUGGUAUAAAUCAACAUUAGGGCGGCACAAAAGGCGGUCGCCCAUGCAUGCGCGAUUCGUAGGAGAAAUUCGCGUGUGCUAUCUAACUUAGAGUAUUGAGAGUAUGACACAUCGCAUCAUCAAACUAAACAACUACAACCAAAACGCGCCGAAAAGAUUCCUUAAAUGAAAACUUUGACAUUGUUAAAAUAGUUGACGAUUUUGAAGUAGUUUAAAAUUUAUUGCCGGAAAAAAUGUAAAAGAAAUAUUUGCUUUC